GCCCUAUCGUCUAGAGGCCUAGGACAUCGCCCUUUCACGGCGGUAACCGGGGUUCGAAUCCCCGUAGGGACGCCA
RNAcentral lists this transfer RNA (75 nucleotides) under Acinetobacter baumannii. Its description in RNAcentral is "tRNA-Glu". It matches the Rfam family "tRNA". Rfam says of the family: Transfer RNA (tRNA) molecules are approximately 80 nucleotides in length. The record is from RNAcentral. Lineage: Bacteria; Pseudomonadati; Pseudomonadota; Gammaproteobacteria; Moraxellales; Moraxellaceae.